GCUGAGGCGCGAAAGUGUGGGGAGCAAACAGGAUUAGAUACCCUGGUAGUCCACACUGUAAACGAUGAAUGCUAGGUGUAGGAGGUAUCGACCCCUUCUGUGCCGCAGUCAACACAAUAAGCAUUCCGCCUGGGGAGUACGGCCGCAAGGUUGAAACUCAAAGGAAUUGACGGGGGCCCGCACAAGCAGCGGAGCAUGUGGUUUAAUUCGACGCAACGCGAAGAACCUUACCAGGUCUUGACAUCCAGUAAAAACCUGAGAGAUCAGGUGUGUCUUCGGACAUACUGAGACAGGUGGUGCAUGGUUGUCGUCAGCUCGUGUCGUGAGAUGUUGGGUUAAGUCCCGCAACGAGCGCAACCCUUGUGUUCAGUUGCUAACAGGUGAAGCUGAGAACUCUGAACAGACUGCCGGGGACAACUCGGAGGAAGGUGGGGACGACGUCAAAUCAUCAUGCCCCUUAUGACCUGGGCUACACACGUGCUACAAUGGCCACCACAGAGAGGGGCAAGCCCGCAAGGGGGAGCAGAUCUCAAAAAAGUGGUCCCAGUUCGGAUUGUGGGCUGCAACCCGCCCACAUGAAGUCGGAGUGCUAGUAAUCGC
This 600-nucleotide ribosomal RNA is filed under the name uncultured bacterium. RNAcentral describes it as "bacterial SSU rRNA". It matches the Rfam family "Bacterial small subunit ribosomal RNA", at positions 745 to 1345 of the family's 1533-position model. The record is from RNAcentral.